GAUGAACGCUGGCGGCGUGCCUAAUACAUGCAAGUCGAGCGAACGGACGCGACGCUUGCUUCUCUGAUGUUAGCGGCGGACGUGUGAGUAACACGUGUAUCACCUCCCUAUAAGACUGGGAUCACUUCGGGAAACCGUAUCUAAUACCGGAUAAUCUUUUGCACCGCAUGGUUCAAAAGUGAAAUACGGUCUUGCUGUCACUUAUCGAUGCAUCCGCGCUGCAUUAGCUAGUUGGUAAGGUAACGGCUUACCAAGGCAACGAUGCAUAGCCGACCUGAGAGAGUGAUAGGCGACAUGGGAAGUGAAACAGGGUCCAGAGGCCUAAGGGAGGCAGCAGUAGGGAAUCUUCCGCAAUGGGCGAAAGCAUGACGGAGCAAGGGCGCGUGAGUGACGAAGGUCCUGGGAGCGUAAAAACCUGUUAUGAGGGAAGAACAGAUGUGUAAGGAACUGUGGAGAUCGUGACGGUACCUAAUCAGAAAGCCACGGCUAACUACGUG
Molecule: ribosomal RNA, 497 nt
Filed under: uncultured bacterium
Lineage: Bacteria
Description: partial 16S ribosomal RNA
Rfam family: Bacterial small subunit ribosomal RNA
Source: RNAcentral